GAAAAGCUCAAAUCCACACCCAGAGAGACCAGCACCUCACAUGUGCAUCCUCCUGAAAGAGCAGAUCUAGGGGAAGACGAACUGUUCAAGUCAUCGUUCCUGCACCUGUUCAGCUCGUUUCCUGUGAGGCAGAGAAGUGACGCGAGAAGUUUAGUUCAACCAUCUGUGAAAACUUUUUCUGCAGUUGAACCACAAUGAAGAUGUGUGUAUUGUUUUUAAUGACCAUCUUCCUGUUGCUGAGUCAAGCUCAAAGCGGAUCUAUUAACACAACUCCAAACAUCAAUAUGUCCUGGUACAGAAGCAGAGGGAUCCGACCAGUGGGAAGAUUUGGACGAAAAGUCAUGGAGAAAAGU
Molecule: long non-coding RNA, 353 nt
Organism: Melanotaenia boesemani (Boeseman's rainbowfish)
Lineage: Eukaryota; Metazoa; Chordata; Actinopteri; Atheriniformes; Melanotaeniidae
Exons: 4
Source: RefSeq, a predicted model, not a curated record